Molecule: ribosomal RNA, 468 nt
Filed under: uncultured bacterium
Lineage: Bacteria
Description: partial 16S ribosomal RNA
Rfam family: Bacterial small subunit ribosomal RNA
Source: RNAcentral
GACGAACGCUGGCGGCGUGCUUAACACAUGCAAGUCGAACGGAAAGGCCCUGCUUUUGUGGGGUGCUCGAGUGGCGAACGGGUGAGUAACACGUGAGUAACCUGCCCUUGACUUUGGGAUAACUUCAGGAGACUGGGGCUAAUACCGGAUAGGAGCUCCUGCUGCAUGGUGGGGGUUGGAAAGUUUCGGCGGUUGGGGAUGGACUCGCGGCUUAUCAGCUUGUUGGUGGGGUAGUGGCUUACCAAGGCUUUGACGGGUAGCCGGCCUGAGAGGGUGACCGGCCACAUUGGGACUGAGAUACGGCCCAGACUCCUACGGGAGGCAGCAGUGGGGAAUAUUGCACAAUGGGCGGAAGCCUGAUGCAGCAACGCCGCGUGCGGGAUGACGGCCUUCGGGUUGUAAACCGCUUUCGCCUGUGACGAAGCGUGAGUAACGGUAAUGGGUAAAGAAGCACCGGCUAGCUACGUG